Ictalurus punctatus (channel catfish) is the source of this 1414-nucleotide long non-coding RNA. NCBI's taxonomy places the organism in Eukaryota, Metazoa, Chordata, Actinopteri, Siluriformes, Ictaluridae. The record is from Ensembl.
CCCAACUCUCAGCGGCGUACUCUUCCCAACGAGGAUCUUGACCUGACGCCGUGUCUUGGUGGGAAAAACAGAUUCGUUACGUCGCCGCGACGCUGUUCCUAACACUCGCGCACGUCGGAUAGAUUUACGCGCGUUUUCAUACUCGAGGAAAAGUGGACCGGAGUCGGGUUCCGGCGAGAUCGUACACACGUCGGAGCAAGGACACGGGUUUAAAAAGAAAGUGGGUGUGACAGAUCGAAACAGAAGGAUGGAAGAGGAUGGAAAGAAGUAGAGAUAGAGAGAUGGAAGAAGGUAGGAAGAACUGACGGGAAGAGAGAAGGAACGAUGGAUAAAAAGAAAGGAAGAAGGGCAGAUGUACAAAAUGAAGAACGGAAGGAUGAGGAAAAGGAGGACUGGAAUACGGAGGCAGGACGGACGAAGUGGGGGGUGGGGGUGGGUGGGGGGGGACGGAUGGAAGGAAGGACACAAAAGGAAGAGUGGGAAAAGAAAGAAAACGAUGGAAGGAGCGCCAGGAAGAAGGGAGAUCAAAAGCGUGAAUGAGUGGAAUGGAGCGAGGGGAAUAAAGAAGGAAGGAAGGAAGAAAAAGGAAAUAAGGAAGGAAGGAGGGAAGGAAAGAAGGCGAGAAGGAAGGAAGGAAGGAAGGAAGGAAAGAAGGAAAGAAGGAAAGAAGGCGAGAGGUAAGGAAGGAAGGAAGGAAGGAAGGAAGAAAAAGGAAAUAAGGAAGGAAGGAAAGAAGGCGAGAAGGAAGGAAGGAAGGAAGGAAGGAAGGAAAGAAGGAAGGAAGGAAAGAAGGAAGGAAAGAAGGAAGGAAAGAAGGAAGGAAGGAAAGAAGGAAGGAAAGAAGGAAGGAAGGAAGGAAGGAAAGAAGGAAGGAAGGAAGGAAAGAAGGAAGGAAGGAAAGAAGGAAGGAAAGAAGGAAGGAAAGAAGGCGAGAAGGAAGGAAGGAAGGGCAUACAGACCGAAUGAUAGAAUGAAAGAUAUAAGGAAGGACGGAUUGAAGAAAGCAGCAGAAGGAAGAAUUGAAUGGAUGAAAGGAAUGGCAGAAGGAAGGAGGAAGAGUGAGAAGAAUGCAGGAAGAAGAACUGAGAGUAAAGAAGAAAUGAAAAGACGGAUAGGAAAGCGAAUGUUAGUAAAAAGAAAGAACUGAACAAUUCUGCCACGGUUACAGCUGUAUCUCUCCUUCCUGUUUUCUUUCCUUUCUCUCGCCUCGUCUUUCUCUAUUGUUCUCUGUUUAUCCUGUCUUCUUUCUCUCCUCUUUUCCUGCAUUCUCAUAUCCAUGUCUUUUCUUCAUCCUUCAGUCUGUUAUAUGAAAACUCUCUCUCUCUCUCUGUGUGUGUGUGUGUGUGUGUGUGUGUGUGUGUGUGUGUGUGUGUGUGUGAAAUGUAAACUUUGAAUAAGAGCCGAAAUACUAACU